This 364-nucleotide ribosomal RNA is filed under the name uncultured bacterium. Its description in RNAcentral is "bacterial SSU rRNA". It matches the Rfam family "Bacterial small subunit ribosomal RNA", at positions 329 to 690 of the family's 1533-position model. The record is from RNAcentral.
GCCCAGACUCCUACGGGAGGCAGCAGUGAGGAAUAUUGGUCAAUGGGCGGGAGCCUGAACCAGCCAAGUCGCGUGAGGGAAGAAGGUACUGAGUAUUGUAAACCUCUUUUGCCAGGGGACAAAGACGGCCACGGGUGGCCGUAAGAGGGUACCUGGAGAAAAAGCAUCGGCUAACUCCGUGCCAGCAGCCGCGGUAAUACGGAGGAUGCGAGCGUUAUCCGGAUUUAUUGGGUUUAAAGGGAGCGUAGGCCGGUCUUUAAGCGUGCCGUGAAAUUUUGUGGCUCAACCAUGAGAGUGCGGCGCGAACUGGAGACCUUGAGUGCGCGGAAGGCAGGCGGAAUUCGUGGUGUAGCGGUGAAAUGCU